UACGUAGGGUCCGAGCGUUGUCCGGAAUUACUGGGCGUAAAGAGCUCGUAGGUGGUUUGUCGCGUUGUUCGUGAAAACUCACAGCUCAGCUGUGGGCGUGCGGGCGAUACGGGCAGACUAGAGUACUGCAGGGGAGACUGGAAUUCCUGGUGUAGCGGUGGAAUGCGCAGAUAUCAGGAGGAACACCGGUGGCGAAGGCGGGUCUCUGGGCAGUAACUGACGCUGAGGAGCGAAAGCGUGGGGAGCGAACAGG
Molecule: ribosomal RNA, 253 nt
Filed under: uncultured bacterium
Lineage: Bacteria
Description: partial 16S ribosomal RNA
Rfam family: Bacterial small subunit ribosomal RNA
Source: RNAcentral